RNAcentral lists this ribosomal RNA (37 nucleotides) under Apiospora sacchari. RNAcentral describes it as "Arthrinium sacchari partial 18S ribosomal RNA". Lineage: Eukaryota; Fungi; Ascomycota; Sordariomycetes; Amphisphaeriales; Apiosporaceae. The record is from RNAcentral.
GGGGUUCAGGUCUCGUUGGUGACCAGCGGAGGGAUCA